This 292-nucleotide ribosomal RNA is filed under the name uncultured bacterium. RNAcentral describes it as "partial 16S ribosomal RNA". It matches the Rfam family "Bacterial small subunit ribosomal RNA", at positions 505 to 796 of the family's 1533-position model. The record is from RNAcentral.
GUGUCAGCCGCCGCGGUAAUACGGAGGUGGCGAGCGUUGUUCGGAAUCACUGGGCUUAAAGCGCGUGUAGGCGGGACGGUAAGUGUCGGGUGAAAGCCCUCGGCUCAACCGAGGAAUGGCUUGGCAUACUGUCGUCCUUGAGGCAGACAGAGGUCACUGGAACGACGGGUGGAGCGGUGAAAUGCGUAGAUAUCCGUUGGAACGCCGGCGGCGAAAGCGAGUGACUGGGUCUGUCCUGACGCUGAGACGCGAAAGCGUGGGUAGCAAACAGGAUUAGAUACCCCAGUAGUCC